CCUACGGGUGGCAGCAGUGGGGAAUAUUGGGCAAUGGGCGCAAGCCUGACCCAGCAACGCCGCGUGAAGGAAGAAGGCUUUCGGGUUGUAAACUUCUUUUAAGAGGGAAGAGCAGAAGACGGUACCUCUUGAAUAAGCCACGGCUAACUACGUGCCAGCAGCCGCGGUAAUACGUAGGUGGCAAGCGUUGUCCGGAUUUACUGGGUGUAAAGGGCGUGCAGCCGGGAAGACAAGUCAGAUGUGAAAUCCCGCGGCUCAACCGCGGAACUGCAUUUGAAACUGUUUUUCUUGAGUGCAGGAGAGGAAAGCGGAAUUCCUAGUGUAGCGGUGAAAUGCGUAGAUAUUAGGAGGAACACCAGUGGCGAAGGCGGCUUUCUGGACUGUAACUGACACUGAGGUACGAAAGCGUGGGGAGCAAACAGGAUUAGAUACCCCUGUAGUC
RNAcentral lists this ribosomal RNA (442 nucleotides) under uncultured bacterium. RNAcentral describes it as "partial 16S ribosomal RNA". It matches the Rfam family "Bacterial small subunit ribosomal RNA", at positions 338 to 795 of the family's 1533-position model. The record is from RNAcentral.